This 485-nucleotide long non-coding RNA is filed under the name Hordeum vulgare. RNAcentral describes it as "long non-coding RNA (HVUL_LNC006209)". The record is from RNAcentral. Lineage: Eukaryota; Viridiplantae; Streptophyta; Magnoliopsida; Poales; Poaceae.
AGGUAUGGGUAUUUGGUCCAGUUUGCAUCCCUUCAUUAUAUGGAUAGGAGUAGCGGCAGAUUUUGCCAAGAUGACGGAUUCAGACAUAUUGUUGUACUGCUUUGUAAGGUCUUCAGAAUAAUCAAUAAAAUGGCUGCAUGCAUCUUCCAGGUGCAGAGGCCGGGGGUCAUGCUCCUUUUCUAAAGAAAAAAACCUUUGCAAGUGUUUUUUUCACAGACACUAGGCAAAGAUAUACUACAUCAAACUCGAAGUGUUAAACAAGAAACAAAGCUACUCAGCACGAUUGUCUAAUCAACACAACUUAUCUUAUUCAUCGUUGCAUGGCACAUGGCAGCUAAACUACUAGGGCUACAACACCAACCCGGAAGAAAACACCACAUAUGUAGACAUGUAGUAUGUACGCACCUACUACAGUGUGUACAACACUCCGUAGCCAUCUAUUCGCCGCGGCGGACGUCGCCGGUGAAGACUCUAGAUCUUNNNNN